GUGGGGAAUCUUCCGCAAUGGACGAAAGUCUGACGGAGCAACGCCGCGUGAGUGAUGAAGGUCUUCGGAUUGUAAAGCUCUGUUAAUCGGGACGAAAGAGCCUAGUGUGAAUAAUGCUAGGAAGUGACGGUACCGGAAUAGAAAGCCACGGCUAACUACGUGCCAGCAGCCGCGGUAAUACGUAGGUGGCAAGCGUUGUCCGGAAUUAUUGGGCGUAAAGCGAGCGCAGGCGGAUCUGCCAGUCUGUCUUAAAAGUUCGGGGCUUAACCCCGUGAUGGGAUGGAAACUACAGAUCUAGAGUAUCGGAGAGGAAAGUGGAAUUCCUAGUGUAGCGGUGAAAUGCGUAGAUAUUAGGAAGAACACCAGUGGCGAAGGCGACUUUCUGGACGAAAACUGACGCUGAGGCGCGAAAGCCAGGGGAGCGAACGGGAUUAGAUACCCUUGUAGUCC
Molecule: ribosomal RNA, 450 nt
Filed under: uncultured bacterium
Lineage: Bacteria
Description: partial 16S ribosomal RNA
Rfam family: Bacterial small subunit ribosomal RNA
Source: RNAcentral